UCAGCUGGCAUGAUGGCGCUGUCACAAUUAAUCUGCUAUUACCACCUUCUUGGUCUGAGACACUGGGAAAUACUGAUAUUUCUUAAAAAUGAGGAUGAUAUUAAUAUUAGUAUGUCAACACUGCGCAGGCAUCUCAAGUCGUUGGGAUUGUUCCGGCGGAAAGCCCAGUCUGACGUGCUGGACAUCGCUCUCUUUCUGCAGGAGCAGUUGAACCAAUACGGUAUGCUUCAUGGAUACAAAUUCAUGCAUUUGAAAUGCAUCCAAGAUGGUUUGGUAGUGACUCAGAGAACUGUGCGGCACCUGCUUAAAAUCCUAGAUCCUCAGGGAGUAGAGCUGAGGUAACGGAACCGAAGCAGUGGUCAGUGUG
Molecule: long non-coding RNA, 367 nt
Organism: Thalassophryne amazonica
Lineage: Eukaryota; Metazoa; Chordata; Actinopteri; Batrachoidiformes; Batrachoididae
Exons: 3
Source: RefSeq, a predicted model, not a curated record